UACGUAGGGGGCAAGCGUUGUCCGGAAUCAUUGGGCGUAAAGCGCGUGUAGGCGGCUCGAUAAGUCCGCUCUGAAAGCCCGGGGCUCAACCCCGGGAGGCGGGCGGAAACUGUCGGGCUAGAGUCCGGAAGAGGCGAGUGGAAUUCCCGGUGUAGCGGUGAAAUGCGCAGAUAUCGGGAGGAACACCAAUGGCGAAGGCAGCUCGCUGGGACGUGACUGACGCUGAGACGCGAAAGCGUGGGGAGCAAACAGG
Molecule: ribosomal RNA, 253 nt
Filed under: uncultured bacterium
Lineage: Bacteria
Description: partial 16S ribosomal RNA
Rfam family: Bacterial small subunit ribosomal RNA
Source: RNAcentral